Molecule: ribosomal RNA, 2499 nt
Filed under: Microgenomates bacterium OLB23
Lineage: Bacteria; Candidatus Microgenomatota
Description: 23S ribosomal RNA
Rfam family: Bacterial large subunit ribosomal RNA
Source: RNAcentral
AUUAAAGCUAACGGCGGAUGCUUGGCAAUGUAAGCCGAAGAAGGACGUGUGUAUGAGCACGAUAUCAUCGAUGAGCCCUCAGACAGGCAUUAUCAAUCGGUGGUUUCCGAAUGGGACAACCCCGGUCGUAGCAAUACGACUGACCUUGUUGAUUUAUCAGCAGGGAGGGAACCCGGUGAACUGAAACAUCUAAGUAACCGGAGGAAAAGAAAUCAAUAGAGAUUCUGUGAGUAGCGGCGAGCGAAAGCGGAGGAGCCUAAACCCUAAUCAAGUAUAGGGUGUUGCGGGACAGACAAUAUGGGAUCAUAUGUUGUUAGAUAAACGUUCUGGAAAGGACGGCCAUAGAAGGUGACAGCCCUGUAGUCGAAAACAACAUGUGCCUUAGUCUGAUUCCCAAGUACCACGAGGCACGGCAAACCUUGUGGGAAACUGGGGCGGUCAUGCUCCAAGGCUAAAUACUUACAUUGACCGAUAGUGAACAAGUACCGCGAGGGAAAGGUGAAAAGUCCCCCGGUGAGGGGAGUGAAAUAGUACCUGAAACCGUUAGCUAACAAGCAGACAGGGCUCCAACGCAAGUUGGGGUGAUGUCGUGCCUAUUGAAGAAUGAGCCAGCGAGUUUUUGACGGCUGCAAGGUUAACCAAUGUGAGUUGGGAAGCCGCAGCGAAAGCGAGUCUGAAUAGGGCGUUUAGUAGCUGUCAAAAGACCCGAAACUAGGUGAGCUAACCAUGAGCAGGGUGAACCUUGUCGAAAGACAGGGGGAGGCCCGCACCCGUUGUCGGUGAAAUGACUUGGGAUGACUUGUGGUUAGUGGUAAAAUGCCUAUCGAACCUAGAGAUAGCUGGUUCUCCCCGAGAUAUAUUUAGGUAUAGCCUUUUCGAGUAAGGUGGGGGGUAGAGCACUGGAUAGUCCUAGGAGCCUUUGGUAACUAGGAUUAACCAAACUCCGAAUACCCACUGUUCAAAUCGAAAGGAGUCAGGCUUGCUCGGAUAAGCGAGUAUGGUCGAAAGGGAAACAGCCCAGACUCCCAUCUAAGGUCUCUAAAUCAUUGUUAAGUGGUAAAGGUUGUGAGGUUUCAAAGACAGACGGGAAGUUGGCUUAGAAGCAGCCACCUUUUAAAGAAAGCGUAACAGCUCACCGUAAUAUACUCCGAUUCGUCGGAGUAUGAGACCUUGCGCCGAAAAUGAUCGAGGCUCAAACAAUGUACCGAAGAUGGAGAUUUCUAAAUUUAUUUAGGAGUGGUAGGGGAGCUUUCUGUAUGCAGUGAAGCUGUCGCUGUAAGGCAUGGUGGAGCGUACAGAAGUGAGAAUGCUGGCAUGAGUAGCGUAUACUCCAGAUGAAAAUUCUGGAUGCCGAAAAUCCAAGGUUUCCUCAGCAACGUACAUCGUCUGAGGGUUAGUCGGAUCUAAGUUCGUUCCCGAAUGGGACGAGUCGAUGUACAAGCCGUUAAUAUUCGGCUACCAAGUGCAAUGCGUUAUUACCAUAACGGUGACGAAAUAUGAUAAGCAGUGCCUUCUAUAUGGGGGUUUAAGCAGCAACGCAAGGAGCUGUGAAUACAAUCUUGACGCAAGUCAGGAAAGAUUGCCGCGUUAUGUUUCCGGGAAAAGCUGUUGUGGGAGUAUUGUAUUUGUCCGUACCGCAAACCGACACAGGUGGAUUGGUCGAGAAGACUAAGGCAAUCGAGUAAUGGUGGUUCAAGGAACUCGGCAAAUUAGCUGGACGUAACUUAGGGAUAUGUCCUCCCCGUAUCGCAAGAUAUGGGGCGCAGCAAAUGACUUUCAACUGACUGUUUAGCAAAAACACAGCUCCCUGCAAACCGGAAACGGGAAGUAUAGGGGGUGAGGCCUGUCCAGUGCCGGUAAGUCAAGAAUUGGGGUUGAGUCCGAUUUAUUUCGGACAAGGCUCUGAUUUAAGCUCCGGUGAACGACAGCGGUAACUCUGACCGUUCUAAGGUAGCGUAGCCCCUUGUCGGGUAAGUUCCGACCUGCAUGAAUGGCUUAACAAGUUGAAAACUGUCUUGAACUACUGCUCGGCGAAAUUGAAAUGGCUGUGAAGAUGCGGCCUUCCUGCACCUGGACAAGAAGACCCCGGGAGCUUUACUGAAACUUAUUAUUGAUAAGAGGCUUUUAACUGUUUAGCGUAGGAGGGAGACUUCGGUCACCAAUGAAACACCUCUCUUUAAAAGCUUUGAGUCUGACCCACCUUAUGGCGGGGACAGUAGUAGGUGGUCAGUUUAACUGGGGCGGUUUCCUCCAAAAAUGUAACGGAGGAGCGCAAAGGUCGGCUUAUUCCGGAUGGAAAUCGGAAUGUAUGUGUAAACGCAAAAGCCGGCUUAACUGUGAGGGAAACAUCCCGAUCAGAUUCGAAAGAAGGCGUUAGUGAUCCCCCGAUCGGCUAUGAUUGCCGGCGGGGCUUAACGGAUAAAAGCUACCCCGGGGAUAACAGGCUUGUCUCCCCUGAGAGUUCAUAUCGACGGGGAGGUUCGGCACCUUGAAGACGAC